ACGGGAGGCAGCAGUGGGGGAUAUUGGACAAUGGGGGCAACCCUGAUCCAGCGACGCCGCGUGAGGGAAGAAGGUUUUCGGAUUGUAAACCUCUGUUGACAGGGAAAAUAGUGAUGGUACCUGUUCAGAAAGCCAGGGCUAACUACGUGCCAGCAGCCGCGGUAAUACGUAGGUGGCAAGCGUUGUCCGGAAUUACUGGGUGUAAAGGGAGCGUAGGCGGGACUGCAAGUCAGAAGUGAAAAUUAUGGGCUCAACUCAUAACCUGCUUUUGAAACUGUAGUUCUUGAGUGAAGUAGAGGCAAGCGGAAUUCCUAGUGUAGCGGUGAAAUGCGUAGAUAUUAGGAGGAACACCAGUGGCGAAGGCGGCUUACUGGACUGUAACUGACGUUGAGGCUCGAAAGCGUGGGGAGCAAACAGGAUUAGAUACCCUGGUA
RNAcentral lists this ribosomal RNA (434 nucleotides) under uncultured Clostridium sp. RNAcentral's name for it is "partial 16S ribosomal RNA". It matches the Rfam family "Bacterial small subunit ribosomal RNA", at positions 341 to 792 of the family's 1533-position model. The record is from RNAcentral. Lineage: Bacteria; Bacillati; Bacillota; Clostridia; Eubacteriales; Clostridiaceae.